CUCUUUUCUUACAAUAUCAAUUAUACUUCUUUUAAAUUUUUUAAUGGUUGCCCUACAGUUUAAAAUAUACAUUGCUAACUAUGAGUCUACCUUCAAAUAACACUGUAACACUUUACUCAUAGUGCAGGUGCCCCAUAACAGAGUUAUCAAAUCUUCCCUCCAAUCCUCUGUGACGUUGAUAUUUAUUUCACUUAUCCAUA
This 200-nucleotide long non-coding RNA is filed under the name Homo sapiens (human). Its description in RNAcentral is "LHRI_LNC1682.1". The record is from RNAcentral. Lineage: Eukaryota; Metazoa; Chordata; Mammalia; Primates; Hominidae.